Molecule: ribosomal RNA, 497 nt
Filed under: uncultured bacterium
Lineage: Bacteria
Description: partial 16S ribosomal RNA
Rfam family: Bacterial small subunit ribosomal RNA
Source: RNAcentral
GAUGAACGCUGGCGGCGUGCCUAAUACAUGCAAGUCGAGCGAACAGACGAGGAGCUUGCUCCUCUGACGUUAGCGGCGGACGGGUGAGUAACACGUGGAUAACCUACCUAUAAGACUGGGAUAACUUCGGGAAACCGGAGCUAAUACCGGAUAAUAUAUUGAACCGCAUGGUUCAAUAGUGAAAGACGGUUUUGCUGUCACUUAUAGAUGGAUCCGCGCCGCAUUAGCUAGUUGGUAAGGUAACGGCUUACCAAGGCAACGAUGCGUAGCCGACCUGAGAGGGUGAUCGGCAACACUGGAACUGAGACACGGUCCAGACUCCUACGGGAGGCAGCAGUAGGGAAUCUUCCGCAAUGGGCGAAAGCCUGACGGAGCAACGCCGCGUGAGUGACGAAGGUCUUCGGAUCGUAAAACUCUGUUAUUAGGGAAGAACAAAUGUGUAAGUAACUAUGCACGUCUUGACGGUACCUAAUCAGAAAGCCACGGCUAACUACGUG